GACGAACGCUGGCGGCGUGCUUAACACAUGCAAGUCGAACGAAAAGAGGGAAAGAGCUUGCUCUUUCCGGAAUUGAGUGGCAAACGGGUGAGUAACACGUAAACAACCUGCCUUCAGGAUGGGGACAACAGACGGAAACGACUGCUAAUACCGAAUAAGUUCCAAGGGCCGCAUGGCGCAUGGAAGAAAAGGUGGCCUCUACCUGUAAGCUAUCGCCUGAAGAGGGGUUUGCGUCUGAUUAGCUGGUUGGAGGGGUAACGGCCCACCAAGGCGACGAUCAGUAGCCGGUCUGCGAGGAUGAACGGCCACACUGGAACUGAGACACGGUCCAGACUCCUACGGGAGGCAGCAGUGGGGAAUCUUCCGCAAUGGGCGGAAGCCUGACGGCGCAACGCCGCGUGAGUGAUGACGGCCUUCGGGUUGUAAAACUCUGUGAUCCGGGACGAAAAGGCAGAGUGCGAAGAACAAACUGCAUUGACGGUACCGGAAAAGCAAGCCACGGCUAACUACGUG
RNAcentral lists this ribosomal RNA (513 nucleotides) under uncultured bacterium. RNAcentral describes it as "partial 16S ribosomal RNA". It matches the Rfam family "Bacterial small subunit ribosomal RNA", at positions 28 to 507 of the family's 1533-position model. The record is from RNAcentral.